AUUCCUACGGGAGGCAGCAGUGGGGAAUAUUGGACAAUGGGCGAAAGCCUGAUCCAGCAAUGCCGCGUGAGUGAUGAAGGCCUUAGGGUUGUAAAGCUCUUUUACCAGGGAUGAUAAUGACAGUACCUGGAGAAUAAGCUCCGGCUAACUCCGUGCCAGCAGCCGCGGUAAUACGGGGGGAGCUAGCGUUGUUCGGAAUUACUGGGCGUAAAGCGCGCGUAGGCGGUUAUCCAAGUCAGGGGUGAAAUCCCGGAGCUCAACUCCGGAACUGCCCUUGAAACUAGGUGACUAGAAUAUUGGAGAGGUAAGUGGAAUUCCGAGUGUAGAGGUGAAAUUCGUAGAUAUUCGGAAGAACACCAGUGGCGAAGGCGACUUACUGGACAAUUAUUGACACUGAGGUGCGAAAGUGUGGGGAGCAAACAGGAUUAGAUACCCUGGUAGUCCACACCGUAAACGAUGAAUGCCAGUCGUCGGCAAGCAUGCUUGUCGGUGACACACCUAACGGAUUAAGCAUUCCGCCUGGGGAGUACGGUCGCAAGAUUAAAACUCAAAUGAAUUGACGGAAU
Molecule: ribosomal RNA, 566 nt
Filed under: uncultured bacterium
Lineage: Bacteria
Description: bacterial SSU rRNA
Rfam family: Bacterial small subunit ribosomal RNA
Source: RNAcentral